This 407-nucleotide ribosomal RNA is filed under the name uncultured Fusobacterium sp. RNAcentral's name for it is "bacterial SSU rRNA". It matches the Rfam family "Bacterial small subunit ribosomal RNA", at positions 355 to 776 of the family's 1533-position model. The record is from RNAcentral. Lineage: Bacteria; Fusobacteriati; Fusobacteriota; Fusobacteriia; Fusobacteriales; Fusobacteriaceae.
UGGGGAAUAUUGGACAAUGGACCAAGAGUCUGAUCCAGCAAUUCUGUGUGCACGAUGAAGUUUUUCGGAAUGUAAAGUGCUUUCAGUUGGGAAGAAAAAAAUGACGGUACCAACAGAAGAAGUGACGGCUAAAUACGUGCCAGCAGCCGCGGUAAUACGUAUGUCACAAGCGUUAUCCGGAUUUAUUGGGCGUAAAGCGCGUCUAGGUGGUUAUGUAAGUCUGAUGUGAAAAUGCAGGGCUCAACUCUGUAUUGCGUUGGAAACUGUGUAACUAGAGUACUGGAGAGGUAAGCGGAACUACAAGUGUAGAGGUGAAAUUCGUAGAUAUUUGUAGGAAUGCCGAUGGGGAAGCCAGCUUACUGGACAGAUACUGACGCUGAAGCGCGAAAGCGUGGGUAGCAAACAGG